GCCCGGCUAGCUCAGUCGGCAGAGGAUGAGACUCUUAAUCUCAGGGUCAUGGGUUCAAGCCCCUCGUUGGGUG
Molecule: transfer RNA, 73 nt
Filed under: Callithrix jacchus (white-tufted-ear marmoset)
Lineage: Eukaryota; Metazoa; Chordata; Mammalia; Primates; Cebidae
Rfam family: tRNA
About the family: Transfer RNA (tRNA) molecules are approximately 80 nucleotides in length. Their secondary structure includes four short double-helical elements and three loops (D, anti-codon, and T loops).
Source: Rfam by way of RNAcentral